UCGGGAAUUUUGGGCAAUGGGCGAAAGCCUGACCCAGCAACGCCGCGUGAAGGAUGAAGUAUUUCGGUAUGUAAACUUCGAAAGAAUAGGAAGAAUAAAUGACGGUACUAUUUAUAAGGUCCGGCUAACUACGUGCCAGCAGCCGCGGUAAUACGUAGGGACCAAGCGUUGUUCGGAUUUACUGGGCGUAAAGGGCGCGUAGGCGGCAAUUCAAGUCAUCUGUGAAAUCUCCGGGCCUAACUCGGAACAGUCAGAUGAUACUGCUUUGCUAGAGUGCAGAAGGGGCAAUCGGAAUUCUUGGUGUAGCGGUGAAAUGCGUAGAUAUCAAGAGGAACACCUGAGGUGAAGACGGGUUGCUGGGCUGACACUGACGCUGAGGCGCGAAAGCCAGGGGAGCAAACGGGAUUAGAUACCCCCGUAGUCCCUGAGCGGGCUGGCAAGGCGCAU
This 447-nucleotide ribosomal RNA is filed under the name uncultured bacterium. RNAcentral's name for it is "bacterial SSU rRNA". It matches the Rfam family "Bacterial small subunit ribosomal RNA", at positions 355 to 825 of the family's 1533-position model. The record is from RNAcentral.